UUCUCUGGUAGGAACUAUCCUAGGACUGCACAGGAGCUGUUUAAUCUCAGACACUCCAGCCUUAGAGUAACUGUUGAGAGGGCAUUUGGAGCUCUGAAGAAUAGGUUUAAGAUCCUGGAUCAAAAGCCAUUCCACCCAUACUCCACUCAGGUUAAACUAGUUCUUGCUUGUUGCAUUCUGCAUAACUGGAUCCUCCAGUGGGGCUUUGAUGAACACAUGCCUGAGGAGGAAGAUGUCGAGCCUGACGAUGUUGUUAGCUCCAGCCAUGGUGUGGAGGCAUUUGAUAAUGAGGCUUGGAAGAACAAAAGGUUGGAGUGGGCAGAGGCGAUGUGGCUUAACAGAGGUCAGUGCAGGAUUUGA
This 360-nucleotide ribosomal RNA is filed under the name Triticum aestivum (bread wheat). RNAcentral describes it as "partial small subunit ribosomal RNA". Lineage: Eukaryota; Viridiplantae; Streptophyta; Magnoliopsida; Poales; Poaceae. The record is from RNAcentral.